AUACAGAGGUCCCAAGCGUUGUUCGGAUUCACUGGGCGUAAAGGGUGCGUAGGUGGUGAAUUAAGUCGGGUGUGAAAUCUCCGGGCUCAACCCGGAGCGUGCGCCCGAAACUGAUUUGCUAGAGGAUAGGAGGGGAGACUGGAAUUCUCGGUGUAGCAGUGAAAUGCGUAGAUAUCGAGAGGAACACCGGUGGCGAAGGCGAGUCUCUGGACUAUUCCUGACACUGAAUCACGAAAGCCGGGGGAGC
RNAcentral lists this ribosomal RNA (247 nucleotides) under uncultured bacterium. RNAcentral's name for it is "partial 16S ribosomal RNA". It matches the Rfam family "Bacterial small subunit ribosomal RNA", at positions 523 to 769 of the family's 1533-position model. The record is from RNAcentral.